Molecule: ribosomal RNA, 538 nt
Filed under: uncultured bacterium
Lineage: Bacteria
Description: bacterial SSU rRNA
Rfam family: Archaeal small subunit ribosomal RNA
Source: RNAcentral
AGUGAAUAGAUACCCGGGUAGUCCCAGCUGUAAACGAUGCGCGUUAGGUGUAUCGGUGACCACGAGUCACCGAGGUGCCGAAAGAGAAAUCGUGAAACGUGCCGCCUGGGAAGUACGGUCGCAAGGCUGAAACUUAAAGGAAUUGGCGGGGGAGCACCACAACAGGUGGAGCCUGCGGUUUAAUCGGACUCAACGCCGGGAAACUCACCAGAUAAGACAGCUGAAUGAUAGUCGGGCUGAAGACUCUACUUGACUAGCUGAGAGGAGGUGCAUGGCCGUCGUCAGUUCGUACUGUGAAGCAUCCUGUUAAGUCAGGCAACGAGCGAGACCCACGCCAACAGUUGCCAGCUCGUCCUCCGGGAUGGAGGGGACACUGUUGGGACCGCCUCUGCUAAAGAGGAGGAAGGAAUGGGCAACGGUAGGUCAGCAUGCCCCGAAUUAUCUGGGCUACACGCGGGCUACAAUGGGUGGGACAAUGGGUAUCGACACCGAAAGGUGAAGGCAAUCUCCUAAACCCAUCCUUAGUUCGGAUUGUGGG